AUCAAUGUGGGGAAAUGCUAGAUUCACCCUCUUUCCCUUUGUUCCGAAUUCACUGUGAGUUCCUUCCUCCUCUUAAAACUGAGACAUCUUUACAGAUUAAUGAAGCUGUGUGCAGGGUAGAUAGCAGCACAUAGUGGGCACUUUCAUUCAAUGACACCUGGAUAAAAGUGCAAGCCUGCCACUCACUCUCUUAUUACCUUAAGAACAAGAAUGUUCAGGCCAAGGAGCCCAAAACUGAAAGCUGAAGGGAAACACUCUAUCCCAGAGCUGGAUUAUAACAAGCAAACAAAAAGACAGGAGCAUCAUGACAACAAUUUGAAGAACUUUUCCUUCCUGUCCAUCAAUCCAGAAUGGAGCAAUACAUCAUCAGUCUAACUUCACUUUGGGAGCAACUGUGGCAUUGUCAACAAGAAAACAGAACUUUCAGAAAAGAAAAAAAAAGUGGUGAGAAAGCACAAGAAAAAUAUACCAGAAUAACAUUGAAAAGCAAAAAGCUACCUAAAAGGACAGCAAAGCUUUAACACACAGCCAAUCGGGGCUUUGCCAUAUGUGCUAUUUCCAUGUGCAUGAGGUCCGCUGUUGUGGUUGACGUGAAACUCUCAUUGCACAAUACCCCAAAAGGCAGCUCACCCUCCAAAGAUUUGGUGUCGUUAUAGUCAGAGCUGGUAAAAUGGUGCCAAAGUCUCUUGGCUCAGAAUAAAU
Long non-coding RNA from Eptesicus fuscus (big brown bat), 702 nucleotides. RefSeq lists it as uncharacterized. Lineage: Eukaryota; Metazoa; Chordata; Mammalia; Chiroptera; Vespertilionidae. The transcript is spliced from 3 exons. The record is from RefSeq and is a predicted model, not a curated record.